GCACUGCCGAGGAGUCCAAGAAUAGAACGAAACGGCCGCCCAGUAC
Molecule: non-coding RNA, 46 nt
Organism: Schistosoma rodhaini
Lineage: Eukaryota; Metazoa; Platyhelminthes; Trematoda; Strigeidida; Schistosomatidae
Source: Rfam